Myotis brandtii (Brandt's bat) is the source of this 73-nucleotide non-coding RNA. The record is from Rfam. NCBI's taxonomy places the organism in Eukaryota, Metazoa, Chordata, Mammalia, Chiroptera, Vespertilionidae.
GCCAGUGUGGCUCAAUGGUAGAGCGCUGGCCCGCACACCAAAGGCUCUCAGGUUUGAUUCCUGGUCAAGGGCA